This 435-nucleotide ribosomal RNA is filed under the name uncultured bacterium. RNAcentral's name for it is "partial 16S ribosomal RNA". It matches the Rfam family "Bacterial small subunit ribosomal RNA", at positions 29 to 507 of the family's 1533-position model. The record is from RNAcentral.
AACGAACGCUGGCGGCAGGCCUAACACAUGCAAGUCGAGCGGACAUCUUCGGAUGUUAGCGGCGGACGGGUGAGUAACGCGUGGGAACGUGCCCUUUGCUUCGGAAUAGCCUCGGGAAACUGGGAGUAAUACCGGAUGUACCCUUUGGGGGAAAGAUUUAUCGGCAAAGGAUCAGCCCGCGUUGGAUUAGGUAGUUGGUGGGGUAAUGGCCUACCAAGCCGACGAUCCAUAGCUGGUUUGAGAGGAUGAUCAGCCACACUGGGACUGAGACACGGCCCAGACUCCUACGGGAGGCAGCAGUGGGGAAUCUUAGACAAUGGGGGAAACCCUGAUCUAGCCAUGCCGCGUGAGCGAUGAAGGCCUUAGGGUUGUAAAGCUCUUUCACCGGGGAAGAUAAUGACGGUACCCGGAGAAGAAGCCCCGGCUAACUCCGUG